CUACGGGGUGCUCCAGUGGGGAAUAUUGGACAAUGGGGGAAACCCUGAUCCAGCAAUGCCGCGUGUGCGAAGAAGGCCUGCGGGUUGUAAAGCACUUUCGGUUGGGAGGACUGCUUCUAGCACUAAUAUUGUUGGAAGUUGACGUUACCUUCAGAAGAAGCACCGGCUAACUCCGUGCCAGCAGCCGUCGGUAAUACGGAGGGUGCAAGCGUUAAUCGGAAUUACUGGGCGUAAAGCGCGCGUAGGCGGCUAGAUCAGUCGGGUGUGAAAGCCCCGGGCUUAACCUGGGAACUGCAUCCGAUACUGUCUAGCUUGAGUACAGGAGAGGAGAGUGGAAUUCCACAUGUAGCGGUGAAAUGCGUAGAUAUGUGGAGGAACACCAAUGGCGAAGGCAGCUCUCUGGCCUGAUACUGACGCUGAGGUGCGAAAGCGUGGGGAGCAAACAGGAUUAGAUACCCGUGUAGUC
Molecule: ribosomal RNA, 466 nt
Filed under: uncultured bacterium
Lineage: Bacteria
Description: partial 16S ribosomal RNA
Rfam family: Bacterial small subunit ribosomal RNA
Source: RNAcentral